This 227-nucleotide ribosomal RNA is filed under the name uncultured bacterium. RNAcentral describes it as "partial 16S ribosomal RNA". It matches the Rfam family "Bacterial small subunit ribosomal RNA", at positions 383 to 607 of the family's 1533-position model. The record is from RNAcentral.
CUGAACCAGCCAAGUAGCGUGAAGGAUGACUGCCCUAUGGGUUGUAAACUUCUUUUAUAAAGGAAUAAAGUCGGGUAUGCAUACCCGUUUGCAUGUACUUUAUGAAUAAGGAUCGGCUAACUCCGUGCCAGCAGCCGCGGUAAUACGGAGGAUCCGAGCGUUAUCCGGAUUUAUUGGGUUUAAAGGGAGCGUACAUGGAUGUUUAAGUCAGUUGUGAAAGUUUGCGG